Molecule: ribosomal RNA, 498 nt
Filed under: uncultured bacterium
Lineage: Bacteria
Description: partial 16S ribosomal RNA
Rfam family: Bacterial small subunit ribosomal RNA
Source: RNAcentral
GACGAACGCUGGCGGCGUGCCUAAUACAUGCAAGUCGAGCGGACGAAUCGAAAGCUUGCUUUUGAUUCGUUAGCGGCGGACGGGUGAGUAACACGUGGGCAACCUGCCUUGUAGACGGGGAUAACACCGAGAAAUCGGUGCUAAUACCGGAUAACACGAAAUGUCGCAUGACGUUUCGUUGAAAGACGGCGCAAGCUGUCGCUACAGGAUGGGCCCGCGGCGCAUUAGCUAGUUGGUGAGGUAACGGCUCACCAAGGCGACGAUGCGUAGCCGACCUGAGAGGGUGAUCGGCCACACUGGGACUGAGACACGGCCCAGACUCCUACGGGAGGCAGCAGUAGGGAAUCUUCCGCAAUGGACGAAAGUCUGACGGAGCAACGCCGCGUGAGCGAAGAAGGCCUUCGGGUCGUAAAGCUUUGUUGUUAGGGAAGAACAAGUAACGCAGUAACUGGCGUUACCGUGACGGUACCUAACGAGAAAGCCACGGCUAACUACGUG